AGCGCAGGCGGACCGGCAAGUUGGAAGUGAAAUCCAUGGGCUCAACCCGUGAAUUGCUUUCAAAACUGCUGGCCUUGAGUAGUGCAGAGGUAGGUGGAAUUCCCGGUGUAGCGGUGGAAUGCGUAGAUAUUGGGAGGAACACCAGUGGCGAAGGCGCCUUUCUGGACUGUGUCUGACGCUGAGAUGCGAAAGCCAGGGUAGCGAACG
Molecule: ribosomal RNA, 207 nt
Filed under: uncultured bacterium
Lineage: Bacteria
Description: partial 16S ribosomal RNA
Rfam family: Bacterial small subunit ribosomal RNA
Source: RNAcentral